CCUACGGGAGGCAGCAGUGGGGAAUUUUGGACAAUGGGGGCAACCCUGAUCCAGCCAUGCCGCGUGAGUGAAGAAGGCCUUCGGGUUGUAAAGCUCUUUCGGCCGGAACGAAAUCGCGCACGUGAAUAACGUGCGUGGAUGACGGUACCGGAGUAAGAAGCACCGACUAACUAUGUGCCAGCAGCCGCGGUAAUACGUAGGGUGCGAGCGUUAAUCGGAAUUACUGGGCGUAAAGCGUGCGCAGGCGGUUCGCUAAGUCAGACGUGAAAGCCCCGGGCUUAACCUGGGAACGGCGUUUGAAACUGGCGGGCUCGAGUACGGCAGAGGGGGGUGGAAUUCCACGUGUAGCAGUGAAAUGCGUAGAUAUGUGGAGGAACACCGAUGGCGAAGGCAGCCCCCUGGGCCGAUACUGACGCUCAUGCACGAAAGCGUGGGGAGCAAACAGGAUUAGAUACCCUGGUAGUCCACGCCCUAAACUAUGUCAACUAGUUGUCGGGGAAGCAAUUCCUUGGUAACGCAGCUAACGCGUGAAGUUGACCGCCUGGGGGAGUACGUCGCGAGAUAAACUACAAGAAGUAGACGCGNGAGACGUGCGACGACGACGACGAGGGAGUAGG
This 617-nucleotide ribosomal RNA is filed under the name uncultured bacterium. RNAcentral describes it as "bacterial SSU rRNA". The stretch from base 1 to 542 matches the Rfam family "Bacterial small subunit ribosomal RNA", at positions 338 to 873 of the family's 1533-position model. The record is from RNAcentral.